This 23-nucleotide small nuclear RNA is filed under the name Arabidopsis thaliana (thale cress). Its description in RNAcentral is "snRNA_00182". Lineage: Eukaryota; Viridiplantae; Streptophyta; Magnoliopsida; Brassicales; Brassicaceae. The record is from RNAcentral.
GUUUGGAAGCUUGCCUAAGGCAU